UGAGCCGAAAUCCAAGAGUCUAAAGGAUGCUCAGCUGACUGAGCCACCCAGGCACGCCUAAGAAUUAUAUUUUUCAAGUGUGAGUUUCAGAAUGCCCCCAUCACAGGUACAGGAAAGGAGAAAGCAAGCAUGUAUCAAAGGAGUGCUCUCUCAGGUGCUAGACUGGACCUUGACUUGGGGAGACAAAGAUGAGUAAGAUGCAGCCCUUCUGGUUGUGGACUUUAACUUUCUGGACUGUGGGGGCCAGGGCAUACACCCACACACAACGCUGCAAAGGAGGUAUGUUUGAAGUGCUGAGGAGCACAGAGAAAAGGAGGAAUUUACUCCGCCAGGUGGAGUGGGAAGAUAAGAGGGUGGUUUUUUAAGAGCGGAGUCUGAGCUGGGUGUUAAAGGAUUUGCCUAACAGAUCAGUAUAUUGCAGAUGAGGGUGUGACCAUGGGGGCUUUGAGACUGGCAGGUAGUUAAGUUUGGUGGGUAUUUUGGUAACUAUCUGGGAAAACAGAUGAGGGUGGACUGGGUGGGAGUUUGGACAGUAUGGCAACUCCAUAGGAUUUGUGGUUUGGUGUGUCCAGAGUCUGUUCUGAGGGUGU
Molecule: non-coding RNA, 590 nt
Organism: Callorhinus ursinus (northern fur seal)
Lineage: Eukaryota; Metazoa; Chordata; Mammalia; Carnivora; Otariidae
Source: RefSeq, a predicted model, not a curated record